AAAAAUUUCGUCGGCUAAACUUUUAAAAAUUUCGUCGGCUAAAGUUCACAGACUAUAGCCGACGAAAAAAAUUAUUCAGCCGAUGAAAUAUUACUUUCGUCGGCUAAAGUUGACCAUAGCCGACGAAAAAAAAUUCGUCGGCUAAAGUGGACUUUAGCCGACGAAAAAAAAAUUCGUCGGCCUGGUUUUUUUAUUUUCGUCGGCUAAAGCCUUUCUUCUGGUAGUGUGAAUCCUAUAAAUAAACAUAGUUCAAGAAUUCUAUUAAAAUCACACAAUUAAAAUUUAAGAAUCUCCUGCGGAUAAGCAUAGUUCAGGUGAUACUCAAAGCAUGAAAUUUAAACAACAUAAAAGAACAUCACACAAACAUUUCUCUACUCCUACUUGUGAGUUCGUCAACACUUAGUCAUCCCCCAUGAAGUACCGACUGACAGACUAGAGCUCUAUACUGACCGUAACCAAUCACCCAGCCAAGGCUUGGUUCCCGGUCUACCACGAAGGCUCCUAAUCUAAUAAUCACCACUAAGGCACACACAUACACAACUAAUGCACACAAUCACCACUAAGGCACACAUUCCAAUACUCUCCCAUCAAAACACUUAUCAAAUCACAAAAUAAUAAAUCUAAUCAUAACCGUAACCUAUCACCCGAUUAAAGGCUAGGAACCCGGUUUGACUAUUUAAACAACAAUUCUAAAUAUAAAAAUAUCAUCAACAACAACACGAGCAUUUCAUAAAUUAUAUCUUUCCGCCUAGAUAUAUUUAUAUAAACGAAGACAUAAAUAUUCCCACUAGAAUAAUAUAUCAACAACUAUAUUUCAACAUCACAAUAUCACAUGAUCGGAAGUCCUUUUGAAAGAUUUUAUUUUACCAGAAAACAUAUUUUCACUUACCCAUGAGCUGUUGACGAUCAAACUCAUUUAUUUUUAAAACAAAAAAUCAUUUUCCUUUAAGGACAACUUCACAGCUAACAAUAAUAAAAUUAUAAAGUAAACUCGGUUCCUUAUGAACCCAUGUGAGAUUUACUCACAAUAUAAAAAAACUGCAUCAUAAUCAUCAUCAAAACCAUUACCAUCGCCGUCAUAAUAAUUAUCAUCAUAAUCAUCAUCAAAAUCAAUAGCACAAUCAUCAUCAUAAUAAUUAUAAAUAAAUGGUCCCAAAGUGGACGUUGGUGAGAUGUUACUCACCUAAAAUCCAGCUGCGUCUUCGCACGCACUACACAAGAAUAUAACACCAAACCACACUCCACAAGUCACCUAUUAACAAAAAUUAAUAACUUUAAUAACAACUUAAUAAAAGAACAUUACACCCUUAACAUGCCUUAACCCAAGCUUUGCCCAAAAAGGACAACCUUCAUCUGAGACCUCCCAAGGUCGUCGAACACUUAACCACAAUCCCCCACUGCCUAACUUUGGAUUCUCCUAGCUCAACACUUCGCACAAGUCUACAAUAACAAAGAAUUUAACAAGCAAAACUUAUUCAAACUUAACCUAAUCUCAUAAUAUACCAAUAUGCUCACAACAACAAGAACUAACUAACCAAAACAACUAAACCUAAACACCCUGCCCAACGCGCCGCCACGCGCCACCACCGGCGGCGGCGAGUGGGCCCCACGCACCACCCUACAACUUCACAAUUUGGCCAAACACCCAACUACAAACUUGAAGAUCACUACAAAUAAAGCACUUUUCCUACCUGAGCCUAAGUCCAACUCGGCCUUAAACCGCCCGAAACAGCCGCCGCAAGCUCCGAUCUUCACUCUGCAAUUUGGGGUUCAAAAACCCAGAAAUGAGUUGCAAGGGUGGUUCAAUCAUGCUAGGAAGGAAGAAAGCUUCACGAAAUGGGUAGCCUCACCUCCCGUCGCCGCCGUACACGGCCGGAACGCCCUCGGGUCAAAGUCGGGUUCGCCACCCUCCACUGCAGCGUUCGAUUCUCUCAAACCCGCUUGAGUCGUCUUCACCCACCUACACAGGGAAGAUCACGCCGAGGAGAGGAAGAGUUUCCGACCGAUGCCGUCGUCUGGGUCGGCCGGAGAUGACGGAAAAUCCAGGUCGGGUCAACCGGGUCCGGAUCGGGUCGGCUGGAAAACUAGGAUACUGAAGGUGAGGCGGGAGAGAAGAAAAAAGGAGAGAGUGGUGCGGGACAAAAACUGAGGGAACCCUAUAACUUUUUCAUAGUUAUACUAAAAAUUCCCGAAAACCACAAACUUCUGCUGACCAUAACUUCCACAUACGAAGUCCGUUUUACGCGUACCACGUGUCUACGAACUCGUAUCGUCAUGCUCUACAACUUUCGUGAAGGAAGUUUCCCGAGAAACCCAACCGAUUAAAAAGUCAACUCUUAACCCUUCAAAAUAGAGCAUUUUCACGGAACUAAAAACUCGACUACUUCUAGUCCACUCACUAAACCACAUAUCCAUACAACUCUUACUUAAAUAAUUUCCAAAAUAAUAUUAGAAACUAAUAUUAAAGUUCCGGGGUAUUACAUACUAUGUAUGUCACAUCCCGACCCUUAUAUUUUUACCUUAUUUACUAGCGUGAUUAUAAUAAGAAUUUUACCGUCUCGAUCAUUGAGUAAAUAGUUUAAUUGGUCCCUAGAGGGGUUUCGGGGACGAUUAUGUGCGGAGGAUUAUUAGUAUGAAGAAAAUACGACGACGGUAAAAAUGGUAAAUUUUAGCUAGUAAAAGGUAAUUUUUAUUCGGGUAUUAUUUUUCGGGGUGUUGAAUUUUGGAAUUUUGGGUUAAAAGGAGUGUUGGGUCGGCUGGGCCGAGCCCAACCCAUUUCUUCUUUCUCUUCUCCCUCUCUCCUGAUUCUCUCUCCUCCCACCCGAUUUUCUUCUCUCUACACCCAGAAGAAUUUCCGGCCGCCCUCCCGCCGCCGUCCGGCCACCAACCGCCGCCGCACCGGUCCCAAUCGAACGGCCUCCAACCCAGCUUCCAUUCUAGGCCGGUAGCAGCCCCCCUAGCGCCGCCGUGAGAGAGCGGUGCCGCUCGAAAGCAAAGGCUGUCCCGAACUUCCCUUCGCCGGAACUUCCUCCUCCGGCCACCAAUCCGGGCAAGCUUGGUACGGUUUUGUAGCCCUCCUUCCGUGCAACAACCCCUCCAAACAGCUCCCUCCCUCUUGAGCUAGGUAAGGAGAAAUUUGAGGUGGAAGUUUUAUGGUGUUUAAGUUGUUUUCGUUCGAUUAGCCUAGUUAGGCUUGGAAUUGGGUGAUGUGUUAGUCAUGAAAGUUGUAGAGGAGAUUGAGAGGAAGAUUCUGUUAAAAUUUGGUAGCAUUUGCAGGUCGCCGGAAAACGGCUGCCGGCCGCCGCCGGUGGCACCACCGCCGGUUAGGAGAGUUUUAGGGUUUUAAAUGUGGAAUAUUAAGAGGAGUAUAUUGGUGUGAUUUAUGGAAUUUUUGGAUGAGAUUUGGAUAGGUUUGUGAAUUUCCGAAGUUUGGUAUUUUUGGCGGUUAAUUAAUGUAGAAUCCGGCCGUAGGAUUUAAGUCGUAUUUUGGGGAGGUUAUAUUUACGACUGUGGAGUAUGAUAUUUAAGUUCGGAUCGUUCCGAUGUAAGAAUAUCGAAGUUAGGCAAUAAUGAGCGUAAUUAUGGCUCUCGGGUAAUUUUGCCUAUUUUGAUUAAAUAUUGGAUUAUUGGUUGGAAAUUAAUAUUUUAUUUGGAACAGGACGUGAGGAGGCUCGAGCAGACGAGACCCCAGAUCGACAUCAGGCUUAGGCCUAAUUUGUGAGUGGACGUUUAUUUUAAAUAAAUGCAUGCUAAAGUUCACGAUUGAAUAAUUAAUGUCGUGGAGUAUUUUGACGUCAUUUUAAUUUUUGACGAUUUUUAUUUCUCUUGGAGAGAUNNNNNNNNNNNNNNNNNNNNAACUUUAGCCGACGAAAUAUAGUAUAUUUCGUCGGCUAAUAUGGGUUUAGCCGACGAAAUAUGGUGUAUUUCGUCGGCUAAAUGAAAAAAUACAUUAAAAAAACAGACGAUAUUAGUAAACCAUACUUAAAUUUCCUGUUCAUCAUGUAUCACCAAAAUUCAUAUAAAAUAACUGAAAUAUGAAUUCAACAUGUGUAAACUAUAAAGGAAAAGGUCUUUAAUUAGUUAUACAAUGCAAAUUAAUGGAUUUCGUCCUCUAAAUUAAAACUAAGGCUAGUAAUCGGAAUCAUCCGAUGAGUC
RNAcentral lists this long non-coding RNA (4155 nucleotides) under Fragaria vesca (wild strawberry). Its description in RNAcentral is "long non-coding RNA (FVES_LNC005468)". The record is from RNAcentral. Lineage: Eukaryota; Viridiplantae; Streptophyta; Magnoliopsida; Rosales; Rosaceae.